CGCCCAGCGGCCCUUCCUCGCCGGCCGUCCGGCGCCGUCGACCGGAGCUGCGCAGCCCUCCACAGCGAGGUAGCAUCCGUCCUUACUCCCUCCUUCCUCCUCUUCCUUCCUCCUCUUCCAUCCCUCCAUCCUCCCCUUCCAACGAACUGCUACAGUAGGUUCAUUCAUGUUACUUCUCUUCCUAAAUAGUAUAGAUUAUGGAUGCACUCUUGACAGAUUAGUACAUAUUAUGGAGUCCAUGUUAAUUUGCAUAAACUGAGUACAGAUUGCUUGCUAGUAGGUGGUGUAUUUGGGAUAAAUUGUGUACAGAUUGACUGAUUAGUACAGAUUGCUUGCUAGUACAGGUUGCUUGUGCUUCUGUUGUGAAUGGAGCCUAUGUAGUACCUUUCUGAUAUGAAUUUAGUUGACAUUGAUUGCUUGCUAUGUUCUGCUGUGAAUAAAUUGGAAGAUGUUUACAUAUUGUACAACUGUUAUACAUGGGGCAGGGUAUUAAAAUUAUUUCGUACGCUCGCUUUGGACAGUUCACACAAAGUUUAAGGAAGUCUUGUUAUGUUUGCGCAAGUUAGCGAAAGAUAUCAUCAAACCCAGAGAUCCUACAUUUAGCUAUGAGCAUGAAAAGAUUAGAGAAGAACGUUUCUGGCCUCAUUUCAAAGGCGCUAUUGGUGCCAUAGAUGGAUCUCAUGUGCCAGUGACAGUGCCUGCAGAUGACGUGGUUAACCAUACAUGUCGACAUGGUUUUACAUCUCAGAAUGUGCUUGCAAUAUGUGACUUUGACAUGAGGUUUACCUUUGUGGUUGCGGGUUGGCCGGGGUCUGCACAUGACUCAAGGAUCCUGAAUCAUGCAUUAGCACACUUCUCUUCAUUUACUGUACCUCCCAAAGGUAUAACAUAACAACACAUGUCGUCAUUCAUUAUAUUCUUAUGUGAGAUGCUCACUUGGUGAUUUGGUGUUCAUUUUCAGGGAAAUACUAUCUUGUGGACUCUGGGUAUGCAAACCGAAUAGGAUAUCUUGCUCCUUUUAAGGGGAGUACGUACCAUCUACCAGAAUUCGUCUUCGUCGUCACCGUCCACCUCAAGGGAAGUAUGACUUGUUCAACUUUUCACAUUCGUCCCUCCGCAAUGUCGUUGAGCGUGCUUUUGGGGUGCUCAAGCAGAAAUGGCGCAUAUUGAAAGGGGUCCCAAGUUUCUCACCUCGUAUGCAAAAGCAUAUCAUCAUUGCUUGCAUGGCAUUGCACAACUUCAUUCGUGAUAGCAAGUUGAGUGAUAAAUUUUUUGAUAAAUGUGAUGCCGAUGAUGAGUAUGUACCUCCAGUGCUACGACGGGAAGUAGCACCAACACAAGCGGAUCCCGUUGAAGAGGAGGAGAACGAAGAUACCAUGGAUACUAUUCGUAGUAGGAUAGCCGAUGCUUGUCUUGCGAUAGCAACAUAGGUUAGCUAUCUUGAUGGAGGUCAUCAUCAUGCGAACCAUAUGUAUAUUCUAUGGUGCAUGCCUUUUGUAAUAUAAUUAUGGGGUCAAUAUCUAUAUAUAUAUAAUAUAGUAUGCAACUUGAAAGUAUAAUCGUUGAAUUCGUAUGUGUUAGCUGUGAAUCAUCUAAAUUGUCAUUAUUUUCCUUUGCAAAACGGUCGUUCUAUUGCCUACCAAUGUAUAUAUCACUAUUUUACGGUUAAGUUGCACAUAAAAAUAUUGAAUUAUUGUCCAGGGUCAUUAUAGACAAUUCACAGUCAAAUCUGCAGUUUCACAGCUGUUUCAGCCAAACGACUUCCAGCUUUUCCACAGCUCAGAGCUCACAGCAGCUUUUACAAAAUCUGCAGCUCAACCAAACACAGCUAAGAGUGAUAGAUUACGAAUUACAUAGUCUGGUUUGUUCAUAUGAGUGUUAACUCCUAAGGUUUUUAAAAAGGUAUAACAUAACAACACAUGUCGUCAUUCAUUAUAUUCUUAUGUGAGAUGCUCACUUGGUGAUUUGGUGUUCAUUUUCAGGGAAAUACUAUCUUGUGGACUCUGGGUAUGCAAACCGAAUAGGAUAUCUUGCUCCUUUUAAGGGGAGUACGUACCAUCUACCAGAAUUCCGUCUUCGUCGUCACCGUCCACCUCAAGGGAAGUAUGAGUUGUUCAACUUUUCACAUUCGUCCCUCCGCAAUGUCGUUGAGCGUGCUUUUGGGGUGCUCAAGCAGAAAUGGCGCAUAUUGAAA
RNAcentral lists this long non-coding RNA (2194 nucleotides) under Triticum aestivum (bread wheat). RNAcentral's name for it is "long non-coding RNA (TAES_LNC000772)". Lineage: Eukaryota; Viridiplantae; Streptophyta; Magnoliopsida; Poales; Poaceae. The record is from RNAcentral.